This 150-nucleotide small RNA is filed under the name Klebsiella aerogenes. RNAcentral's name for it is "Short Intergenic Abundant RNA". It matches the Rfam family "Short Intergenic Abundant RNA". Rfam says of the family: This family contains multiple ncRNA from E. coli that were identified in a large scale screen of E. coli, were they were called candidates 43,55 and 61. These RNAs have also been identified by other groups and called QUAD RNAs. Lineage: Bacteria; Pseudomonadati; Pseudomonadota; Gammaproteobacteria; Enterobacterales; Enterobacteriaceae. The record is from RNAcentral.
UUGACUUUGCCGCUUUUUCGUCCUAACUUGCAGGAUGAAGGGUAAGGGAGGAUUUCUCCUCCCCCUGAUACACUGUUAGUAAGUCGGGAAACUUAUCAGUAACAGCACUAUCAGUAUGAUGAGUAGAUUCAUCAUAACCCUUUCCUUAUU